This 457-nucleotide ribosomal RNA is filed under the name uncultured bacterium. RNAcentral's name for it is "bacterial SSU rRNA". It matches the Rfam family "Bacterial small subunit ribosomal RNA", at positions 340 to 786 of the family's 1533-position model. The record is from RNAcentral.
UACGGAAGGCAGCAGUGGAGAAUAUUGCACAAUGGGCGAAAGCCUGAUGCAGCUAUGCCGCGUGUAUGAAGAAGGCCUUAGGGUUGUAAAGUACUUUCAUCGGGGAGGAAAAAACAAAACUAAUAAUUUUAUUUCUUGACGUUACCCGAAAAAGAAGCACCGGCUAACUCCGUGCCAGCAGCCGCGGUAAUACGGAGGGUGCUAGCGUUAAUCAGAAUUACUGGGCGUAAAGAGCACGUAGGUGGUUUUUUUAAAGUCAGAUGUGAAAUCCCUGGGCUUAACCUAGGAACUGCAUUUUGAAACUGAAAUACUAGAGUAUCGUAGAGGGAGGUAGGAUUCUAGGUGUAGCGGUGAAAUGCGUAGAUAUCUGGAGGAAUACCUGUGGCGAAAGCGGCCUCCUAAACGAAUACUGACACUGAGGUGCGAAAGCGUGGGGAGCAAACAGGGAUUAGAUACC